Molecule: ribosomal RNA, 253 nt
Filed under: uncultured bacterium
Lineage: Bacteria
Description: partial 16S ribosomal RNA
Rfam family: Bacterial small subunit ribosomal RNA
Source: RNAcentral
GACGGAGGAUGCAAGCGUUAUCCGGAAUGAUUGGGCGUAAAGCGUCCGCAGGUGGCAGUUCAAGUCUGCUGUCAAAGACCGGGGCUUAACUUCGGAAAGGCAGUGGAAACUGAACAGCUAGAGUAUGGUAGGGGCAGAGGGAAUUCCUGGUGUAGCGGUGAAAUGCGUAGAUAUCGGGAGGAACACCGGUGGCGAAGGCGGCGACCUGGGUCGAUACUGACGCUGAGGUGCGAAAGCGUGGGGAGCAAACAGG